Mytilus californianus (California mussel) is the source of this 984-nucleotide long non-coding RNA. RefSeq lists it as uncharacterized. The transcript has 3 exons. The record is from RefSeq and is a predicted model, not a curated record. NCBI's taxonomy places the organism in Eukaryota, Metazoa, Mollusca, Bivalvia, Mytilida, Mytilidae.
UUUUCAGUUAUGAAGGAUACAAAGGGAACCAAAGAUUCAUCUCGCAAUACUGUAGGACAUAUCGUGUUGGUUAUUUGUGGAAUUAUAGUGAUUUUGUCAAUAAUAGCUUUUUUGUUGAACAAGCUGCUUACGACACGGGACAAGCAUUGUAAAAGAUCUGAUGAUGUAGUUACAGAAAUGGAAUAAUGACAUUAAAACAUUAGAAGAGUUUUCUGACCUAUCCACAGAUGUAUUUACAUUUUAUAGUGUUUGUGUUAAACUUUAUUAUAAUGUUAUAAUGUGUUAGGGCUGUUGCGAUUUUUUGUAAGGUAAUUCUUAAGUCUUUGCGUAGUGGAACACGAUUUUAUUCCUGUUUCAUAGACUAUGAAAAAAGAUUUGAUAGUGUAUCUUAUUUCAAGUUGUGGUUAAGAUUAAUCAGAUGUGGUAUAAGUGGAAACCUAUUAACUGGUAUUAAAUCUAUGUAUGCCAAAAUUAAACUUUGUGUUAAACUGGAAGGACAUUUUUUAAAUUUCUUCCAAAGUAAUGUUGGACUGAUGCAAGGAGAAUCAUUAUCUCCUCUUUUAUAUUCUUUGUAUAUUAAUGACAUUGAAACUGAGCUUAUAAGUCAAGGUUGUCAGUCAUAUGAGUUAAAUAUGCUUAAUUUAUAUUUACUUAUGUAUGCAGAUGAUACAGUUUUAUUUAGUGAAACUAUUGAUGGUUUACAAAAGAUGAUAGACAGUUGGACAUAUAUUCUACAGAGUAUAAUUUAGAUAUUAACUAGUCUAAAACCAAAAUUGUUAUGUUUACAAAUAGAGAACUCGUUAAAGCGACUGGCAAAUGGUACUUAAAUGGUGUUGAUAUUGAAUUUUGUGAUGCAUUUACAUAUCUUGGCAUACUUUUAAAUACAAUGGUAACUUUGUACAUACACAGAAAAUAUAGCCAAACCAGGGUAGAAAAGCAAUUCUCAGUAUUUAUUUUAUAUAGUAAAAUAUAUGACGAUUGUUU